UAGCUAGUUGGUGAGGUAAAGGCUUACCAAGGCGACGAUCUGUAGCGGGUCUGAGAGGGUGAUCCGCCACACUGGAACUGAGACACGGUCCAGACUCCUACGGGAGGCAGCAGUGGGGAAUUUUGGACAAUGGGGGCAACCCUGAUCCAGCCAUGCCGCGUGAGUGAAGAAGGCCUUCGGGUUGUAAAGCUCUUUCGGCCGGGAAGAAAUCGCAUGGGCCAAUACCCUGUGUGGAUGACGGUACCGGAAUAAGAAGCACCGGCUAACUACGUGCCAGCAGCCGCGGUAAUACGUAGGGUGCGAGCGUUAAUCGGAAUUACUGGGCGUAAAGCGUGCGCAGGCGGUUUUGUAAGACAGGCGUGAAAUCCCCGGGCUUAACCUGGGAACUGCGUUUGUGACUGCAAGGCUAGAGUACGGCAGAGGGGGGUGGAAUUCCACGUGUAGCAGUGAAAUGCGUAGAGAUGUGGAGGAACACCAAUGGCGAAGGCAGCCCCCUGGGUCGAUACUGACGCUCAUGCACGAAAGCGUGGGUAGCAAACAGGAUUAGAUACCCUGGUAGUCCACGCCCUAAACUAUGUCAACUAGGUGUUGGGUGGGUAAAGCCAUUUAGUACCGUAGCUAACGCGUGAAGUUGACCGCCUGGGGAGUACGGCCGCAAGGUUAAAACUCAAAGGAAUUGACGGGGACCCGCACAAGCGGUGGAUGAUGUGGAUUAAUUCGAUGCAACGCGAAAAACCUUACCUACCCUUGACAUGCCAGGAACUUGCCAGAGAUGGCUUGGUGCCCGAAAGGGAGCCUGGACACAGGUGCUGCAUGGCUGUCGUCAGCUCGUGUCGUGAGAUGUUGGGUUAAGUCCCGCAACGAGCGCAACCCUUGUCGUUAAUUGCCAUCAUUUAGUUGGGCACUUUAACGAGACUGCCGGUGACAAACCGGAGGAAGGUGGGGAUGACGUCAAGUCCUCAUGGCCCUUAUGGGUAGGGCUUCACACGUCAUACAAUGGUCGGUACAAAGGGUUGCCAAGUCGCGAGGCGGAGCCAAUCCCAGAAAGCCGAUCGUAGUCCGGAUUGCAGGCUGCAACUCGCCUGCAUGAAGUCGGAAUCGCUAGUAAUCGUGGAUCAGCAUGUCACGGUGAAUACGUUCCCGGGUCUUGUACACACCGCCCGUCACACCAUGGGAGCGGAUUCCGCCAGAAGUAGGUAGCCUAACCGCAAGGGGGGCGCUUACCACGGCGGGGUUCGUGACUGGGGUGAAGUCGUAACAAGGUAGCCGUAGGGGAACCUGCGGCUG
Molecule: ribosomal RNA, 1287 nt
Filed under: metagenome
Description: bacterial SSU rRNA
Rfam family: Bacterial small subunit ribosomal RNA
Source: RNAcentral